AGAUUGAACGCUGGCGGCAGGCCUAACACAUGCAAGUCGAGCGGCAGCACGGGUACUUGUACCUGGUGGCGAGCGGCGGACGGGUGAGUAAUGCCUAGGAAUCUGCCUGGUAGUGGGGGAUAACGCUCGGAAACGGACGCUAAUACCGCAUACGUCCUACGGGAGAAAGCAGGGGACCUUCGGGCCUUGCGCUAUCAGAUGAGCCUAGGUCGGAUUAGCUAGUUGGUGAGGUAAUGGCUCACCAAGGCGACGAUCCGUAACUGGUCUGAGAGGACGAUCAGUCACACUGGAACUGAGACACGGUCCAGACUCCUACGGGAGGCAGCAGUGGGGAAUAUUGGACAAGUGGGACGAAAGCCUGAUCCAGCCAUGCCGCGUGUGCGAUGAAGGCCGUUGGUUGUAAAGCUACGUUUUGGCGAGGAACGAAACGGACGUGCCUAAGUACGGACGUCACGUGACGUACUGACAGAAUAAGCACGACUAACGUACGUCG
Molecule: ribosomal RNA, 493 nt
Filed under: uncultured soil bacterium
Lineage: Bacteria
Description: bacterial SSU rRNA
Rfam family: Bacterial small subunit ribosomal RNA
Source: RNAcentral